CCUACGGGCGGCUGCAGUCGAGGAUCUUCGGCAAUGGGCGCAAGCCUGACCGAGCGACGCCGCGUGUGUGACGAAGGCCUUCGGGUUGUAAAGCACUGUCGGGGGGGAGAAAGGGCGUAAGCCUUGAUCGACCCCCGGAGGAAGCACGGGCUAAGUUCGUGCCAGCAGCCGCGGUAAGACGAACCGUGCGAACGUUGUUCGGAAUAACUGGGCAUAAAGGGCGCGUAGGCGGGCCCGAAAGUCAGGGGUGAAAUCCCACGGCUCAACCGUGGAAG
This 275-nucleotide ribosomal RNA is filed under the name uncultured bacterium. RNAcentral describes it as "partial 16S ribosomal RNA". It matches the Rfam family "Bacterial small subunit ribosomal RNA", at positions 338 to 621 of the family's 1533-position model. The record is from RNAcentral.